This 509-nucleotide ribosomal RNA is filed under the name uncultured bacterium. RNAcentral's name for it is "partial 16S ribosomal RNA". It matches the Rfam family "Bacterial small subunit ribosomal RNA", at positions 29 to 523 of the family's 1533-position model. The record is from RNAcentral.
AUUGAACGCUGGCGGCGCGCUUAACACAUGCAAGUCGAGCGAGAACCAGUCCUUCGGGACUGGGGACAGCGGCGAACGGGUGAGUAACACGUGAGUAAUCCACCCUCGGCACCGGGAUAGCCCGCGGAAACGCGGAUUAAUACCGGAUGGCCCAUUUGUCCUUCGGGAAUAAAUGGAAAAGGUAGCUUCGGCCUCCGGCCGUGGACGAGCUCGCGGCGGAUUAGCUUGUUGGUGGGGUAACGGCCCACCAAGGCGACGAUCCGUAGCUGGUCUGAGAGGACGAUCAGCCCCACUGGGACUAAGACACGGCCCAGACUUCUACGGAAGGCAGCAGUGGGGAAUCUUGCGCAAUGGGCGAAAGCCUGACGCAGCGACGCCGCGUGAGGGAAGAAGGCCUUCGGGUUGUAAACCUCUUUCAGGAGGGACGAAGCUACUCGGGUGAAUAGCCCAGAGGGUGACGGUACCUCCAGAAGAAGCCCCGGCUAACUACGUGCCAGCAGCCGCCGUAA